RNAcentral lists this ribosomal RNA (251 nucleotides) under uncultured bacterium. Its description in RNAcentral is "partial 16S ribosomal RNA". It matches the Rfam family "Bacterial small subunit ribosomal RNA", at positions 524 to 774 of the family's 1533-position model. The record is from RNAcentral.
UACGUAGGGAGCAAGCGUUAUCCGGAUUUAUUGGGUGUAAAGGGUGCGUAGACGGGUAUACAAGUUAGUAGUGAAAUCCCUCGGCUUAACUGAGGAACUGCUACUAAAACUAUAUAUCUUGAGUACUGGAGGGGAAAGCGGAAUUCCUAGUGUAGCGGUGAAAUGCGUAGAUAUUAGGAAGAACACCGGUGGCGAAGGCGGCUUUCUGGACAGAAACUGACGUUGAGGCACGAAAGUGUGGGGAGCAAACA